AUAAAGGCUUUUCUCAAAGCCAUAUCUUAUUCAGUUGUAACCGAAC
Glossina fuscipes fuscipes is the source of this 46-nucleotide non-coding RNA. The record is from Rfam. NCBI's taxonomy places the organism in Eukaryota, Metazoa, Arthropoda, Insecta, Diptera, Glossinidae.